This 254-nucleotide ribosomal RNA is filed under the name uncultured bacterium. RNAcentral's name for it is "partial 16S ribosomal RNA". It matches the Rfam family "Bacterial small subunit ribosomal RNA", at positions 524 to 776 of the family's 1533-position model. The record is from RNAcentral.
UACGGGGGGAGCAAGCGUUGUUCGGAUUUACUGGGCGUAAAGGGCGCGUAGGCGGUCAGCACAAGUCAGUUGUGAAAUCUCCGGGCUUAACCCGGAAAGGUCAACUGAUACUGUGCGACUAGAGUGCGGAAGGGGCAACUGGAAUUCUCGGUGUAGCGGUGAAAUGCGUAGAUAUCGAGAGGAACACCUGCGGCGAAGGCAGCUCGCUGGGACGUUACUGACGCUGAGACGCGAAAGCGUGGGGAGCAAACAGG